GUUUGAUCCUGGCUCAGAACGAACGCUGGCGGCGUGCUUAACACAUGCAAGUCGCGUGCGCAGUUGCCGUAGCAAUACGGUGAUAGGCGCACGGCGCACGGGUGCGUAACACGUGGGCAAUCUGCCCUUUGAUGGGGAAUAACCCGCCGAAAGGCGGGCUAAUUCCGCAUAAGAUUCCCGGGACCUCGGUCCUGGGAUUGAAAGCAGCAAUGCGUCGAAGGAGGAGCCCGCGCCCGAUUAGCUAGUUGGUGAGGUAACGGCUCACCAAGGCUAUGAUCGGUAGCUGGUCUGAGAGGAUGAUCAGCCACACUGGAACUGAGACACGGUCCAGACUCCUACGGGAGGCAGCAGUGGGGAAUAUUGCGCAAUGGGCGAAAGCCUGACGCAGCGACGCCGCGUGGGGGAUGAAGCUUCUCGGAGUGUAAACCCCUUUCGACCCGGACGAAUGACCCGCAAGGGUUUGACGGUACGGGUAUAAGAAGCCCCGGCUAACUACGUGCCAGCAGCCGCGGUAAUACGUAGGGGGCCAGCGUUGCUCGGAAUUACUGGGCGUAAAGGGUUCGUAGGUGGUGCGGCAAGUUGGAAGUGAAAUCUCUGGGCUUAACCCAGAGGCUGCUUUCAAAACUGCCGCGCUCGGGUGCGAGAGAGGCCAGUGGAAUUGCAGGUGUAGUGGUGAAAUGCGUAGAUAUCUGCAGGAACACCCGUGGCGAAGGCGGCUGGCUGGAUCGCAACUGACACUGAGGAACGAAAGCUAGGGGAGCAAACAGGAUUAGAUACCCUGGUAGUCCUAGCCCUAAACCAUCGGAACUUGGGGUGGCCCGCGUAGGCGGGUCGUCCCGUAGCUAACGCGUUAAGUUCCGCGCCUGGGGAGUACGGUCGCAAGACUGAAACUCAAAGGAAUUGACGGGGCCCGCACAAGCGGUGGAACAUGUGGUUCAAUUCGACGCAACGCGAAGAACCUUACCUGGGCUUGAACCGCUACUGACACGGUAGAAUAUCGUCUCCCGCAGGGACAGUAGUAGAGUGCUGCAUGCUGUCGUCAGCUCGUGCCGUGAGGUGUUGGGUAAGUCCCGCACGAGCGCAACCCUUACUCGUAGUGC
Molecule: ribosomal RNA, 1100 nt
Filed under: uncultured bacterium
Lineage: Bacteria
Description: bacterial SSU rRNA
Rfam family: Bacterial small subunit ribosomal RNA
Source: RNAcentral